UGCUGGUCCCACUGCAGGGCAUGCAGGACCUGCCUGCCCCCUCCUGGGGGGGCUCCUGCCUGCCCCAGCACCCCUGCCCUGGAGAAGAAGGGGGCCAUCAAAAGACUAAUUUCUACCCGACAGGCUGAUCUGGACAGGUGGUGCUGUACUGUCUGAAAGACCGUGCCAGUGAAACAGCUGGUCAUUAUUUGGCAGAUCUUUCUUCUUCACGGUGACAUCCUCAGAGUGAUCUGAUGAGGCAAAGCUAAAUUGUGUCUGUUGCCUGUUAAAAACAUGUCUCGGAAAGGAAAACUGCAGCAGGUAUCUCUGUAAGUAUCAUUCAGUCCCAAAUUGCAGGCUUUUUUUCCUUUUUUUCCUUUUUUUUUUAAACCAGAACUCCCGGUCCAUCAUUAGCAUCUCAACACAUGGAUUCCUGGAAGAUGCCUGCAGUAUCGACAUUAUCAGACUCGUAACUGCCCCAUACAUGGUCUUUCCCCAAACCCAAGUUUACUGCACAGCCAGAUUUAUCAGGAAAACACAGAUAAGUUGACUUGCAGCCUGAGUGCACCCCAGGGGGGGUUGUUCUGAGAGGCCUGAAAGAAUUCGGGCAAGGUGUGGCUGUCUCACUACUAAAAAAUACCUUUGUUUUACUUCUAGGAGAGAAAUCUCAACAUAGAAUCACAAGUAGGUGAUAAGGGCAGCAAGAGCCGUGGCUCUUCUUUUGAGGACAGCCCAACAAUGCUCUCAGAAAUUACAGAUGCAGGAGCCCCUGGCAAAUGGUUUAAAUGACAAAGAGGAUACAUCAAGAAAUCUUCAACUGUUCUUUUCUUUCUUAGAAGGACUAACAGCUCUCCAAGUAUUUCAAGUCCUUUUGCUCAGAUCGAUCAGGCCCGCAGGGAGAACCUAUUGAGGCUGCUGGGUUCUUCAGUGUCCUAAACCGGGAGCGUAAACACUGCAGAAAUCUGCACUUCCAGUGUUCCCUUUUUCAGGGACAGAGAAAAGGACAUGUCUGGUCAUCAGUGCAUGAGGUGAACAGCUGGACCCUCUGGUUCCAGUCACCAACAGCCAGUUGUGUUUUCUCCUCACUUGUGGAAACUAAAAAAGUGAAACCAAGCUGGGUUUUUGUUGUGGUGGUGGUGUUAAUUUGGUUUAUUGAAUUUUUUGUUCGUUUGUGGUUUUUUUAAUGCACAUCAGCUAUGGCUCACUCUGAUGAUACUUAGUUGGCAAAGUUUUCACUGAAAUCCAUAAAAAGUCAAAUAAUACAAGGAAGUCUGCAAAUACAGAUCCAUUGCCUUAGUCCAGGGAGGUUCUUUUCCUGUUUUGCAGAAAUGUUUUCCUAUAGAUGUUCCUGACCUGUCUUGGGGGCACUGGACAAGGAGAUUGGACCUGUCACAUCUCAGGGGUAUUUCAUUUUACCCGAGCUGAUGGCAGAUCCUGUGUCCCCGAGUGUUUCACCCAGGACCUACAGAAAUCCACUUGUUGCUUCUGGGGGAGGAUGGGGGGAACCGGUGGGGAGCCAGGACUUCCAUCUGAGCUUUAACCCCCACAGAGCCAGUGCCCAGAGCUGCUGUGAUAAAGGAGGUUUGCAAGGCAAAGGUCUGUCCACAGAUAACGUCAUGUAAAUGCUUCCCUUGGCAGUGGAGGGCAAUUCCAUCAGCAGACACUGACUCCAGAGCACUUGGAACUCUCCUUUCCUCUCCAAUAUAAAAAUCAGAAGGGGGAAUCUGUGCUGGAGCAGUUUGGGAAGGAGUGCAGCCCAUUGGAAGGAGCCACGCCGGAGCAGUUUGCGAAAGGCUGUAUUCCUGGGGAACAGAUCCAUGCUGGAGAAAGGGAAGAGCACGAACAGGAAGGAGCAGCAGAGGCAAAGUGUUCUGAACUGAUCCCCAGCCCCGUUCCCCAGCCCUGCGUGCCACUCAGUGGGGGAGGACAUAGAGGGAUGGGUAAUGAUGGAGUGAAGUGGAGCCUGGGAAGCAGGUGGGGGUGGUGGUUUAGAUGUGUCUCUUUUAACCAUCCCAAAUCUAUUUGACUUGGCAAUCAAUUAAGUUGUCACCUGGUAUUACUUUGGGGUUUUUUCAGUGCUUGUUCCUGACAGCAAAUGCUGAUGACGUUCCACCAAGCACGGGAUGUGGGGUAGGAUCUGCUGGAGGGGUGGCUGGUGCCACCAGGGCCCUGAGCUGUGGCUGCACAAGUGCUGGCAGGAGGCAGCAGGUGCCAGGGGAGGAGGACUUGGCCAUGGGCAGUGGCUGCUGCCACACUGCCAGGCCCUGUUGCCAAAACCUCUGCAGGCUCAUCACGUUCUGUAACGUGUUUUUUCUCUUGAAACUUUUUUUCUAUCCAAAUAAAAUCACUGAUGUUGCCCCCCGGCCUCCUCAGAGAUACAUACAAGGUCAUAGCCAUAGAGGGGAAAUAGUCUGUCCCUUGAGCCUUUCUGGGGAAGCAGCAGGUGCAAAAGACUUUUUCAUGCAACACAGUUAGAUUCAGGAGCUUAUUUCCAGGAUGUUAUAGAGGAGUAUCAAUAGAUUCCAAAAGAGACUUAAAGUCAUGGACACGUUCCAGCUUGCAUUUCAAAUGGUCCUUUCUUCUGUCCAUACAGCAAGGAUGAAAUACUUUGAUAGUUGUGUGUCAUGAUCCUAAGCAGGCAGACCUGAAGCCUUUCUGAAGUGUUUAGGUAAGAGCUUCAAAUCUAGAGACUUCAGUAGUACACAGAAAUCACCCAUCCUUACCCAGAGCACCAGAAAAGCAUCUGUGAGGGUUUGUCUCAAAGCUUCAUCCCAUCUGUCUCUGGCAAGGGCUCAAGUUAAUGCCUUAACAGAAGUUAAGAAAGUGUGGGAACACAGGCCUCUUCUGAGUACUUUCCCAGCUUCCAACAAUUUUUACAGCACAGGGAGCUCCUGAGCCAGGUUUGGUUUAAAUAAAUGCAUUUUAUUUAAAUGAUAUAAAAUCAAUGGUAAAAUUAAACCACCUAGACCGAUUAGGUGGGCUGCUGUUACACCAGCCUCUGACAGGUGACUUCUCCAUCCAAAGGCAACUCCCAGUGAGGGCUGUGAGCACCCAGAGGUGCCUCUGGGUGUAGUGGCUGAACAGCCGGUUUUAGAAACCCUGGUGGUUUCACAACAAACAUGUUUAUCCCUCUCUACAACUCCUCCAUGCACACACGUUUGCAACAAGCAGCAGGCCCUGUUCAGUGCAGGGCAGAUCUGGAAAACAGCCAGCUCUGAACUGCCUGAUUAUUUUCCCGUUUCCCUUUAUACACUGCAACUCCAAAUAGUGAUACAGAUUUCUUCACUCUCUAGUGCUUUCAUUUCUGAAGAUGCCCAGUAACUUGGCAGCUGCUCCCAAAGGGCACAGCAAGGUCCUGCUGCAGGGUUUUCACACUGCUAAGAGGCAGUAAAGGAACCAGAAGUGAACCGUGUUUCCCCUGGUGUCUUGGAAAGGGUGUCACAAACUUACUGACAGUUUCAUUCACAAUUUAUUUAAGAACAUGACUCCAGGAUGCAAACAGAAUCAUGAUGCCAGUCAGUACCUGGGAGAUGACUGGGAGACAGGCAAGAACUCUUUCGGUGAUCUAAUUCUUUUUGACCCUUACAGCGAUCAUCUUCAGAAUGUUAUGAAACACUGGAACUCUCGAGUUUUUACUCCAGGCUUGGGCUGCCCUCGGCGGGCAGGGGGCUGUGCACUGCAGGCACAGCUGCGGGCAGGGGCGGCUGCCGACACCCGUCCCGCAGGGAAGCGCUGGGAAAAGCAGCUCCCAGAGCACGGAGCGGUGCAGGGGCUGGGUCUGUUCCAGAUUGCAGAAGGCACCUGAACGAAAUGCAGUUAAUUUCAGCUGCCGCUCCCCAGGGGUCGGCACGGCCGGGCCGGGGGUCCCGGCUGCCCCCGCACACCCCGCGGCCGGGGGGCUCCGGGAGGGGCUGCUCGGGGAGAGACCCCCCCCCCAGCAGCACAGCCAGACAAACCAGCACCUCCCUGGCGCCAUCGGCCCAGCCCGGGGGGGAGAAAACAAUGAGCGAUCAAACCAACGAGCCCCUCGGGACUUUGGGGCAGCCGGUUCCCGGGCACCGAGCGCUGCAAACGAGCCCUUUGCUGAGGGCUCUGCAAGACCCCGCAGAGCUCCCGGCGCGGGGGUUAAACGGCAGCUCGCGUUUCUCUGCAGCCCGGCUGACAUCAGGCUGCACUUUUUGAGGCACUUCGUGAGGAUCGUGUACAGGAUGGCCAGGUUUUGUUUUGUGCACACUUGAUCAAACGUCGCAGAACCUAUGAAGCAGGUUCUGACCCUUUUCCUGCUGAUGGCAAUAAAUCUAUCAGGAAACCUCGGCGAGCUCUUUUUCUGCAGCUACACUCACCUAAUGAGGUAAUCCUGGCGGGGUAAAACAAAAGGCACUGCAGAUGCCUAGGUUUAUUCUCAGAAAUAGGGUGUUGCCUUUGAGCUGAAACCUGCAAACAGGAACGGCUGCGGGGGGCGAGGCUGUGAGAAUAGGUGACAAGCGGGGUACGACUGCCUUUGGACCUCAAGCGAAGCGCUGGAGGGUUCUUUCUGCCACCGGAUUUUACGGAUUGUACUUUGGCGACCCAGACGGGACCGCGCUCCUGCACCUCGAGGGAUCCGGGGAAUCGCAGCAUCUCCAGGCGGCAGCGAGGGAUUUUCGGGAAGAAUCUCUGACCCCUGAACCGAAGAGCUCGGAGCAAGUUCCCUGCUGAUGAAGCACCUGGUGAGGAAAUCUGGUUUCAAGCUCUGGAUGUCUAACAUUGCAGCUGGCGACAUAAACUGCUUCAAGAGUCAAAGCCUUUGAAUGCAGCGAUGACAAUUAGGGAUUUCAGGUUUUCGUUCAGAAACCCGCGUGCUACUUGCACCCCUUCAAAAUCCUUUUCCAAAAAGGUCAAAGCUGAUGUUCUAAAAGCACGUGCAGAUCAAUGUUUGAUUCAUGCCCUAUUCGUGUAACAGCUGUGUUGCCAUAGCUAGGAAGAUACUAUUUUUUGCAUAGACAUCUGACUGUACAUGCCCCGGGCAGCAGCUCUUGCGUGGCUGAGCUGUCUGGAAGGAGGUGAUGACAAGGCGGUCCCGCAGCCCCAUGCCCAGCCCCGGUCAAUCCAUGUGGCAUUCCCUAGCCAUCCCUCCAUAUUUUAUAAGACUUUGCCAGUAAUGGCUGGGGUGUCGUUCAGCCUCUGUUGACAACCUUGUAUUUUUUCCUCGUGAGCUCCAAUCGUAUUUAUCACAUUUCUAACCACUGUUUGGCAAUGAUUUCCAUUUUUUUUGGUGAUUAUAAUCCUAAUUGGAGCCAGCCUGAAGCCAGACGGUCCGAUUUCCCCCGGCCUGUUAGGGUUAAUGUCACAUUCCUCUCAGCUCUAUUCUUUUUCUGUCUGGAGGGGACAACUUUCAGAAGCAGGUGAGCAUUGGCCCGGGACGGAUUAUCUCACAAACAAAUACUACAAAAUAAUGCAGCGGGUAUUGUUUAUUUUUUUGGUUUUGUUUUGCUCCCCCCCCCCCCCUUUCA
Long non-coding RNA from Apus apus (common swift), 5471 nucleotides. RefSeq lists it as uncharacterized. Lineage: Eukaryota; Metazoa; Chordata; Aves; Apodiformes; Apodidae. The record is from RefSeq and is a predicted model, not a curated record. The transcript has 2 exons.